AGGUCCAGCCUGCCCAGUGACCAUGUUCAACGGCCGCGGUAUCCUAACCGUGCGAAGGUAGCGUAAUCACUUGUUCUUUAAAUGCGGACUAGUAUGAAUGGCACCACGAAGGUUAUACUGUCUCCUUUUUCUAAUCAGUGAAACUAAUCUCCCCGUGAAGAAGCGAGGAUAUACCUAUAAGACGAGAAGACCCUAUGGAGCUUUAAACAACACAGCAAUUACCUGCUAAACUAAGAAGUUUCUGAACAUUUUCAAUCUUUUAAGUAAUCUGACUGCAAGUUUUUGGUUGGGGUGACCACGGAGCAUAACACAACCUCCAUGUUGAAAGAAUUCUUUCUAAGCCAAGAACAACCUUUCUAAGCAUCAAUAUAUUGACAUCCAUUGACCCAAUACAUUUGACCAACGAACCAAGUUACCCUAGGGAUAACAGCGCAAUCCACUUCAAGAGCUCCUAUCGACAAGUGGGUUUACGACCUCGAUGUUGGAUCAGGGUAUCCCAGUGGUGCAGCC
This 510-nucleotide ribosomal RNA is filed under the name Rhinella marina (marine toad). RNAcentral describes it as "partial 16S ribosomal RNA". It matches the Rfam family "Bacterial large subunit ribosomal RNA", at positions 1850 to 2560 of the family's 2925-position model. Lineage: Eukaryota; Metazoa; Chordata; Amphibia; Anura; Bufonidae. The record is from RNAcentral.